This 427-nucleotide ribosomal RNA is filed under the name uncultured bacterium. RNAcentral's name for it is "bacterial SSU rRNA". It matches the Rfam family "Bacterial small subunit ribosomal RNA", at positions 356 to 797 of the family's 1533-position model. The record is from RNAcentral.
GGGGAAUUUUCCGCAAUGGGCGAAAGCCUGACGGAGCAAGACCGCGUGAGGGAGGAAGGCCUUUGGGUUGUAAACCUCUUUUGUCAGGGAAGAAAAAAAUGACGGUACCUGACGAAUCAGCCUCGGCUAACUCCGUGCCAGCAGCCGCGGUAAUACGGAGGAGGCAAGCGUUAUCCGGAAUCAUUGGGCGUAAAGCGUCAGUAGGUGGCCAAGUAAGUCUGCUGUCAAAGACCACAGCUUAACUGUGGAAAGGCAGUGGAAACUGCAGGGCUAGAGUACGGUAGGGGUAGAGGGAAUUCCAGGUGUAGCGGUGAAAUGCGUAGAGAUCUGGAAGAACACCGGUGGCGAAAGCGCUCUACUGGGCCGUAACUGACACUGAGGGACGAAAGCUAGGGGAGCGAAAGGGAUUAGAUACCCCUGUAGUCAA